AGCUGGGGCAACUGGUGGUGCUUGUGUACCAUUAUAACCAUCAGACGGUGCUGCAGAGCUGUAUGAAGGGUAAGUUUGCUGAACAGGCGCAUUUGAUGCAUAGCCAUAUUGCUGUUGUGGAGCCAUGUUUGAACCAUACGAUGGUGCUGCUUGAGUUGGACCUUGGUAAGGCACAUCACCAGAAGGUGCUGCUGGCCUUGGAGGCCCAUAUCCUUGCUCAACUGAUCCCUGCAUCCCGUAAGGUCUAGCUGGUUGCUGCAUUUGGUGUUGACCGCCUGCCGGGGGAUAGCCCUGUUGGG
This 299-nucleotide long non-coding RNA is filed under the name Eutrema salsugineum. RNAcentral's name for it is "long non-coding RNA (ESAL_LNC000534)". Lineage: Eukaryota; Viridiplantae; Streptophyta; Magnoliopsida; Brassicales; Brassicaceae. The record is from RNAcentral.